RNAcentral lists this ribosomal RNA (690 nucleotides) under Triticum aestivum (bread wheat). RNAcentral describes it as "partial small subunit ribosomal RNA". The record is from RNAcentral. Lineage: Eukaryota; Viridiplantae; Streptophyta; Magnoliopsida; Poales; Poaceae.
AUGCAGAGCCUGAAUUGCUGCCGGCCGACAGGGGGCAUUAGCCAGCUUCUGAGGAAACUAUUCAGAGCCAGUCAGUCUUCUUUUAUAGACGUCACUCAGGAGAUCUACGCAGGCGGUGAUCCUUGUUUGUCAGCGGUGCACCGUACCUGGCGCUCGUUCAUAGACAUGGUUUAUCACUCUAGUUUCAUUGACGAUGAUGAGAUCACAAAAGCCUGUGGGUGUCCUUUGCUUCCACUAAAAACUCAUAUAAAGGGCCCAGCCCCAGCCGCGGAUUCAGAUAAGGCGGAUAUAGUUGAUGAAGCGAUAACUUUCUUCCGAGCAAAUGUUUUCUUCAAAAACUUCCAUGUCAAAAGCCCAGCAGACAAAUUGCUCAUCUAUCUGACAUCUUACAUCAAUAUUGCCUUGAAAAGACUAGAAACCUGCCGGACGCUGGCUGUCGGAACUAAGGCAAUCAUUAACCUGGGGUUGGAAAAAGUUCCUGUGCCUGGGGAACCAGGGUUUCCUUUUCCUGGACUUUUCACUCUCCCCCAAUCUGGGGAGGAAGCAGAACUGCUGAGGAACUAUCUGAAGCAGAUAAGGGAGGAAACGAGCGGGAGGCUGCUCAACUGCGCAUACAGAGCUAAUGGCACUCCAAACAAAUGGUGGCUGGCUUUUGCAAAGAGGAAGUUCAUGAACGUUGUCAUCCUUUAG